Molecule: ribosomal RNA, 253 nt
Filed under: uncultured bacterium
Lineage: Bacteria
Description: partial 16S ribosomal RNA
Rfam family: Bacterial small subunit ribosomal RNA
Source: RNAcentral
GACAGAGGGUGCAAACGUUGUUCGGAAUUACUGGGCGUAAAGCGCGUGUAGGCGGCUAAGCAAGUCGGGCGUGAAAUCCCAUGGCUCAACCAUGGAAGUGCACCCGAAACUGCAUAGCUAGAGUCCUGGAGAGGAGAACGGAAUUCCCGGUGUAGCGGUGGAAUGCGCAGAUAUCGGGAGGAACACCCGUAGCGAAGGCGGUUCUCUGGGCCAGUACUGACGCUGAGGCGCGAAGGCUAGGGGAGCAAACAGG